Molecule: ribosomal RNA, 255 nt
Filed under: uncultured Gigaspora
Lineage: Eukaryota; Fungi; Glomeromycota; Glomeromycetes; Diversisporales; Gigasporaceae
Description: partial 18S ribosomal RNA
Rfam family: Eukaryotic small subunit ribosomal RNA
Source: RNAcentral
AAGCUCGUAGUUGAAUUUCGGGGUUCUACCGUUGGUCGGGCAAUAGUCUGUACCGGCGUGUAGAAUUUCUACCUUCUGGGGAACUAUCAUGUUAUUUAUUUAGCGUGGUAGGAAACCAGGACCUUUACCUUGAAAAAAUUAGAGUGUUCAAAGCAGGCUUACGUCUGAAUACAUUAGCAUGGAAUAAUAAAAUAGGACGGUGGUCCUGUUUUGUUGGUUUCUGAAUCACCGUAAUGAUUAAUAGGGAUAGUUGGG